GACGGACGCUGGCGGCGUGCUUAACACAUGCAAGUCGAACGGAAAGGCCCUGCUUUUGUGGGGUGCUCGAGUGGCGAACGGGUGAGUAACACGUGAGUAACCUGCCCUUGACUUUGGGAUAACUUCAGGAAACUGGGGCUAAUACCGGAUAGGAGCUCCUGCUGCAUGGUGGGGGUUGGAAAGUUUCGGCGGUUGGGGAUGGACUCGCGGCUUAUCAGCUAGUUGGUGGGGUAGUGGCUUACCAAGGCUUUGACGGGUAGCCGGCCUGAGAGGGUGACCGGCCACAUUGGGACUGAGAUACGGCCCAGACUCCUACGGGAGGCAGCAGUGGGGAAUAUUGCACAAUGGGCGGAAGCCUGAUGCAGCAACGCCGCGUGCGGGAUGACGGCCUUCGGGUUGUAAACCGCUUUCGCCUGUGACGAAGCGUGAGUGACGGUAAUGGGUAAAGAAGCACCGGCUAACUACGUG
This 468-nucleotide ribosomal RNA is filed under the name uncultured bacterium. Its description in RNAcentral is "partial 16S ribosomal RNA". It matches the Rfam family "Bacterial small subunit ribosomal RNA", at positions 28 to 507 of the family's 1533-position model. The record is from RNAcentral.